RNAcentral lists this long non-coding RNA (474 nucleotides) under Struthio camelus australis. Its description in RNAcentral is "lncRNA (ENSSCUG00000013859.1)". The record is from RNAcentral. Lineage: Eukaryota; Metazoa; Chordata; Aves; Struthioniformes; Struthionidae.
CGAUGAUCCAGUUUUGAUGUAGUUGUGACCGAACCUGUCACAGGACAGAUCCUGGUCUGGUUUGAUCCAGUUCAAGCUUCAAGGGGAAAAAGAGCGAGAGCUGGAGACUGCCUUCCUUCCUGCAGUGCAUUUAUCGUGGCCGCAGCAGCCAGAGAAAAGGCCGCGUAACAGAAGCUGCAAACGUUCACGAAGAUGCAUUUUUCAGCUGCAGAGAGUGACACUUCCCCUCUUGAGGAGUGUGCAGUGGUGUAGGACUCUCUUGGUCAAACGUUUGUCAACAUCCUUCAGAUCUUUCACUUGGAGUCAAAACAUGCUGAGUCCAGUGGGUAAUUAUGCCCUGGGAAGCGCUGCUGAACUCUGCUGCGUUUUGCAGGAGUUCCUGGUGGCAGAAUUUCUCUUCUUCUAAACAAUGAAUUGGAGGCAUCAUCCCCAUCUUAGUGAUGUUUUCUGCAAAUGCAGCUGGAAGAAGCGUUC